This 194-nucleotide ribosomal RNA is filed under the name Mesoaciditoga sp. RNAcentral describes it as "partial 16S ribosomal RNA". It matches the Rfam family "Bacterial small subunit ribosomal RNA", at positions 1350 to 1533 of the family's 1533-position model. The record is from RNAcentral. Lineage: Bacteria; Thermotogati; Thermotogota; Thermotogae; Mesoaciditogales; Mesoaciditogaceae.
CAGCCAUGCCGCGGUGAAUACGUUCCCGGGCCUUGUACACACCGCCCGUCAAACCACCCGAGUUGAGGAUACCAGAAGUCGCUGGCCUAACCGCAAGGGGGGAGGCGCCGAAGGUAGACUCAGUGAGGGGGGUUAAGUCGUAACAAGGUAGCUGUACCGGAAGGUGCGGCUGGAUCACCUCCUUUCUAAGGAGA